This is a non-coding RNA of Lolium perenne, 2670 nucleotides long. The record is from RefSeq and is a predicted model, not a curated record. NCBI's taxonomy places the organism in Eukaryota, Viridiplantae, Streptophyta, Magnoliopsida, Poales, Poaceae.
GGAUGAUAAGCUUAGGAUUUGUAGUGGUGGCACUUGCGGAUCUCUGAGAAAUACUAUUUUUAUUUUUUGUUUGCAGGAUUAGAAGGGCGUCCAUUGCUGUCGUCCAUUCCUCAUGUCGUGUGCUCCACCAUUCCUUUAGAGGAUAGGCAGAUUCUUAUUAUAAGCUUUGGCAGCCACAGACACAGACACAACAGAGGUACCGUUUACACAUACUUGGUUCGGAUGACAUGGGUGAGGCUGAAUUUACUUUUAUUGGAAGACUUGCUCAGGAUAUCACUGGCGUUUCACCUCAAGAAGCUAUACUGAAUAAUUACCAAGGCAUCAUUCCAAUUGCUAAUCUAGCUAUUGCAUCUGCACAAAUUAGGCAUACAUCCCUAAGUUGGGUGCCGCUGUAUCCUACAAAUAUCAGUUCCUUAUAUGCGUGACAGCCAACAGUUUCCAAAGUGAGCUGGGCAUCGUUAAAUGUUCGCACAGUUGAAGCAUGUUAUUCACCUGAGUGAGGAAAAACUCUACCAGGGUAAUCAAUAACCUAGCAUAUUCUAUCUGAGACGUUCCAAUCCUUUGCGGAAAGAGUGUGCCUUCUAAUAUGCAAUUAUCAAUAUUGACAAGUAACUGAAGUGCCUGGUGUUAUUACUUUUGUAUGCUUCUCCUUAUGUUAGUUGUAUCUAAGAGCUUCAAAUGGAAGACUCCAAAUAGCAUGCUUGUAUGUAACACUCACAGCAUGCUUAUAUUUAACAACUUUCAAAUAAUGUCUUCAAAUAGUAUCUUCUAUUGUAUAAAGAUGGUAAUGUAAUCCGAGCAUUUAAGAACAAUAUAUUUUCGUAUAUUACUGAUGUUCUAUUUGUAUAGGUUUGUCAGUUUGUAUUGGAAGCUGCUAAUUUGAAGUCAUGUGAUAGCAACUGAUGUUUGUUCAUACUUGACAAUCACAUAGAUAAGUAAAGUAUCUCUCACCGGGGGUUAAAGUUACAAUAGUGCUUCUUGAAAUAAGAAAAAGAAAACCUAGGAAGUAUCUUCUCUCUUUUUUCCGAAAUUUUGUCCCCAGCAGUUACUUGAGCAUGUUGCCAGUUUCGUACUUCUGACUUUGUUAAAUUAUCCAGCGACCUCUGUUCUACGGAUUGAAGAUGGGGCUUCUACCAUAUAUGAGAAGGCCUCUAAGGGUGUCCCUGCAGGCCUUCUGCCUUUCAUUUGUCCUGAUUUUUAUUCCUCCUUGGCAAUUCAGAAUUGGAGGAUCCAUUGGAAGCCGAUUAUCACCCAAAUCAGUAUUUUUAUGGUGACCACAGACGUUUCCUUCUGUUGGGAAAUAAGCCAUCAUUUUGUCCAGGUUGUGCAUAUAAGAAGGUGCAGUUUUACUCCACCUUAGAACACUUGCCGCUGCAGAAACUAAUCCUGCUGAUUAUAUCCCUGAAACAUUGGAACUAAGUGCUCCACGGUCGCUCAUGCAGUAUCUUGCCUUCCAAGAUUAGUGUGUAGUAUCUGAAUGUAACAUAGAACCUUGGCGUUGGGGUGCCUUUUUCGAGGAAUAUGGUGAAACUGACAAAAGAAUUAUGACAGCCUGUUGAAGCGGCUUGCGGACUUCACUUCAAAUAUUGUUGGAGCGCUCAAAGUUGUUUGGCACCUCCAGCUUGUCCCUUGGAGAGUCACAAAUUUGGGAUCAAAUUUGGGGACGACAGACCUGCGCUCGGCAGCCCUCCUCCAUCAGCCUCGGACUGCCAUGGCUUGCAGGAACAGCUGACACCCGCGGCCAAUAUGGUCAACGACGUGGCUGCUUGCCUUCUGUGCGCUAGCCUUGUGGGGCACCACGGCGUAGGGAGCUGAUGACUUGAAGCGGCAGGAGCCAACGGCCGGACGUCGGGUGGUUAGGAGGUGAGGGAAGAAUAAAAAAGGGGCCGUCAGAUGGGUGCCGCCUGUAGCGUUGAUGCUCUUCUCUCCAAGAAAUUCGCCUCCACGGCUGCUUUGCGGAUGGAGUUCCCGGUGGCUUGUCCGUAUGGUUGAUGGAUGCUGAAGAUUAGGAUGGGGUUGCUGAUGCUUGAGAUGGGGUGAAUCUUGGGGAACUUCCUUGGAUUGCAUGGAUAUGAAUGGACUGAUCCUGGGGUGUAUGUCUACUGAAUCUACAUCAUCUGCGCCCCUUCUGAUGAAAUCAGGAGCUGACCUGUGGAGCUUUAUUGGGAUGAUCGAGAAUACCUUGUGGCUCUGUAGGAUUAUUCCUCUAGCUACGUGAAAGCAUUGUUCCCUCUCGAUUGUUCCCAUUUUCUUUUUACGGCUUUGUUACAGAAUUUUGAUGUUGUGACUGCUUUGUUUGGUUGCCUCUUAAUGGAAGGUGGAAAACCCCCUUCAUCUAAAGAAGGGAUGUUAAAGAGGAGGCAUAGUGUUCGUUAAGUGAAAAGUUUCUUGAGAGCGUGCUUUGCCUUUUUCAAUAUACUUGUAGAUUCUUUGUGACUGCUCUUAAUGACUAUUGUUUAUGUUUGUUUAGAAUUUGGAACAUGUGUGUUGAAGAUUAGCGAUUCAGCAUGAUCAUAGAGAUGGAUAUGCACUAAAGUUAGGUGUGCUACAUGCUGCUGCUGAAUUAUACAUGUAUUAACUUUUUUUAAGACAGAUAGGUAUCACACAAUUGAUUGAAAGAUGGGUUUCCCUAAAAAAGAAGGUCCUAGCUGUUGGCUACAACAAAAAAAC